AUGGGUUUGCGCGAAAAUUGUUCGAGUCUUUCGCCUCAAACCGCAAUUAUUCAAAAAAAAGUGCAAAUUCUUGCUUUGUAGCGUUGCAAAACCCGCAAUAACAAUUCAAGAUUGUGCCCGUGUGCAGGUGCGCAACCCGACCGGGUGCGGCUCGCGCAUUGUUUAUAAUUUUUAAGGUAAAGCUAUGUCGAAGUCUACUGGAACCGUUAAGUGGUUCAACGAAGAAAAAGGUUUUGGAUUCAUCACGCAAGACAACGGUGGCCCCGAUGUUUUCGUACAUUUUCGCGCCAUUCAGGCGGAAGGUUUUAAAACGCUGAAAGAAGGUCAACCCGUUUCUUUCAACGUUGAAAAAGGCCAAAAAGGCUUGCAGGCUGCAAACGUUGUUCUUGCCUAAGAACUCGUUUCCUGCGACAUCGAAAAAGGGCGCUUAGUGCGCCCUUUUUUGU
Molecule: small RNA, 446 nt
Filed under: gamma proteobacterium HdN1
Lineage: Bacteria; Pseudomonadati; Pseudomonadota; Gammaproteobacteria
Description: cspA thermoregulator
Rfam family: cspA thermoregulator
Source: Rfam by way of RNAcentral